Molecule: long non-coding RNA, 3548 nt
Organism: Vespula vulgaris
Lineage: Eukaryota; Metazoa; Arthropoda; Insecta; Hymenoptera; Vespidae
Exons: 4
Source: RefSeq, a predicted model, not a curated record
CAUGGAAAGCUAUGGUAUUCGUAUGAAACUUCGUCAUGGGAAAUUUGUUCGAUCGGUUACGCCGAGAAUGACGAAAACGACACCGACGUUCAAAGAUUUGUCCUGGUAUCGUUGAAAAAUUCUUCGCGCGUAGAAAUAUAUGAUCCAAGAAAGGGACCGAUGGGACGAAAGAAGGACGAAGAAGACGAACUGGCAAUCUCGUCGAUUUCACGAAGAAUACCUAUCUAUCUAUAUGGCGUUAUAUACCUGACACUGCUAUAUACUUUUAAACCAUAUAUAUAUAUAUGGAAUCUCCUACGAAGAAAUAGAAAAGAAUACGUAUCUAUUCUACAUGAUCGAGAAACAAAGGACAGAAAGAUCAAAAAGAAUUUAUUCGAGAUGAAUGAUGGACGACUUAUGGGUUCUCCUUCGUUCGAAGAAAACAAUUUGAAUCAAUUUGGAGUGAAUAUCAAAUAAAGAAGAGAAAGGAACGAUGUAUGUAUAAUCGAACGUUCCGUUUGGAUUCAAAAAAAGAAAAAAGGGAAGGACGAUCGAACUCUCAUAGACAAGCCUGUUAAUAGGAAUAUUAAAAAAAUGAGUAUCUUCAAAAUUUCUUGUUACCCGAGAAACGAGGCUUUAGAAAGAAAUAGAGAUAUUAUGGUACACAAAAGAAAAGAUGAAAGAAGAGCAGCAAAUCUCCAGAUACCAGAGACAACAAAUCCUAGAUCGACGUUAGCUUCGACCUUCUAGGUAUCUCUGGAAUAGCAGAGAACUACUUGGCCUCCGAAUUGGAUCACAACGAUCUCUCUUUUGGAAGGAACCAAGAUAGCAAUGAAGGAGAGUUCUCUCUGUCUCUCUCUCUCUCUCUCUUUCUCUCUCACUCACUCACUCACUAACUCGAGCUUGCAGACAAUGAGACAAUGGAGCGACGGUUGCAAGGAGCGAUAGCGCCGGAUUAAUUCCCAAUCGAUUCCAAGAGAACUCCUUUCGACUCUAUCCUUGGGGUUACCAUAUCAUUCUCGAUGGAUGAUUCGAAAGAAAAGUGACAAACUUUUCUUUUUCUUUUGCUUGUGCUUUUUUUUUAUCGACUUCGAACUCGUCUCCUCCUCGUUGUACACACGGUAUGUAAUACACAUCUGCACACAUUUUAUUAUGAAAUUGAUCGAUCUUUUUUUUUAUGUCUGAUCGUGUACGAAAGAAAAGGAAAACAAGGAAAACAUUCGAUUCGAUUAGAAUCGGUAGAUAGACAAAUCGUACGAGAAAGAGAAAAAGAGAGAGAGAGAGAGAGAGACAAAGUUGAGUAACAAAGAUCGAAUUAUUGUUAUCAUAACCAUCUGGGGGCCUCUCUUUCGCAAGCUUAAAAGCCUGCGACUGUCCGUUAGAUCAAAGGAGGCAACGACGUGUUCCAGAGUGCGGAAUGUACUGUGUAGAUUCCCCAAGCGAAUAGAUUCCGAAAUGAACACGUUAAAGUACCCAAGGGACGUUCAGGAGUUAUGGAUCUCAUGAAGGAUGCGGUCGAUGACGUUCUUACUCGUCACCGACCGUAUCAAUUUUUGGGGGAAGAGCACGGGUGAAUUUUCAUGACCAGGUGGGGGCUACAAUCGGAAGUGGAAGAAAGGAGACAAAAAGUGAUCGAUCGAUCGAUUAAUCGAAGCGAUUUUUGCACAGCAUUCAACGACGCAUUACGAAUCUACCUUAACGAAUAUAAUUGACUGAUUGAAAAAAAGAAAAAAGUAAUGAAUCGUGUUAUACGAUAAAAAAGAAAGAAAAGAAAAAAUGAAGGAAGAAAAGAAGAAGUAAAUUUAAAUGGUAUUUAUUCGACGAUCGGUCAAGUAACAUAAUCAACGAUAUAUAUAUCUAUUUACGUUUGAUAUCGAUCGGAAUAAUUUGUCGAGAAAGUUGAUGAGCUUCGAUAUUCUUUUAGGAAAAUCUUAAAAGCAAAUGGACUUAAAUAUAUAUAUAUAUAUAUACAUAUAUGUAUAUGUGUAUAUAUAUUAUAUACGUGUAUAACGUACACGAACGAUUCUCGAGGAUGGUAAAAAGAAUCUCGUUAGCCUUUCGUAGAAUAUCGAUGAUCCUCAUUAAGUAAUAAUCUUUUAAUUAAUGUUCGGAAAGAAGAAGAAGAAAAAGAAGAACAACAAGAAAAGGAUGUUGAUUAUAUAGGCGCCGUGCCCGUAUGCUGUUUAGACGGACGUGAUUACCUUGUUUUACCGGUUACGAAGACAAGUCAAUGUGUUGUGGUCUAGCCUGAGGACAGACGGCGAUACCAGCGCUAAUCACGCUUGUGAAUUGCAUCUAUAAAUAAAAUAUCCAUAUCUGUGUGGGGAAGGAACGCUUAAAAAAAAAAAAGAAAGAAAGAAAGAAAGAAAAGAGAAGAAAGAAAAAUAAAAAAAAUGAUUACGAUCCUCGGCGAGCGAGCGUUCGUAAUUUUUAAUUUCAAAGAAAACAAAAAACUGGAGGAAGGAAGAAGAGAAGAAAAAAUAUGACAAUGGGAGAAAACGAUCUCGGAAAAAGAAGAGAAGAAAAAAUUUUUCGUUCGCGUUCGUUCGUUCGUUCGUUCGUUCGUUCGUUCGUUCGAACGACGACGACGACGGAGCUGUACUUAAAUUCGAUGACGUUCGCGCGUUACUUAGCGAAUUUCAAUCGCGCGUGAAAAAAAAAGAAGGAAAAAAAGAAAAAAAAGGAGAGAGAGAGAGAGAGAGAGAGAAAAACGAAGAAAACGAAGAAACUCCGACGAAAUAAAACCCUUCGUUUUCGACGACGACUUCGACGUUCGAGUCUGGUUACCGAUCGGCUACUACCACCACCACCAUCGUCAUCAUCACACCAGUACCAGCAGUACCAGUACCAGUACCAGCACCAUCACCAUCACCAUCGACACUACCACAUCGCACCGCAGCACAGUGGUAGAUAGGUAUAAGGACAAAAGGGAAAUCGAUGGUACGAUCUAUCGAUUGGUGUGACAUCGAAGACAAUUAACACGUUGAUUGCCAUGGAGGUCAUCCCAAUUGAUUGCACUUUCUUCUACAAAGAGGUCCGAUUUUCAAACGUAUAUUUAAGAUUUAUUUUGCUGACAUUUUUAUCGAGAUCUUUGUAUCAUUAAUUGCGAGGGAGGAAAGGGAUAAAAAGAAAAGAGAAAAGAAAAAAAGAAAAAAAGAAAGGAACGAAAAAGGAAAAUAAAAAAGAAGGAAAAGAGGGGAAAAGAAAAAAAAGGAAAAAGAAAGAAAAAAAAAGAAAAAAAAGAAGGAGGUAAGGCGUGGGACGUUCCUCGUUGUGGUUUACUUAUUCUUUCAUCCUGUUUCGAUUUUAAUUUAGUAUAUAAUUUAUCGUUCGACAUUCAACGUAUCGGUAUGUUAAUGUUAUAUAAGGUAAGUUCAUACCCUUUUUUUUCCUUUUCUUUUUUGCUUUUAAUUUCUCGGAAAAAGGGAAAAAAUGAUAGGAAAUCCGCAAUGACCGUCUCCUUUCCGUUUUAUUUUCGUCGUGAAUUAUAAGCCCAAUUGAUCAUUAUUACGUCCCGCAUGCGAUUCCGUCUCUUCAAUCUUUUUUUUUCCUUUUUAAAAAACGGAAGC